GAAGCUACAGUAGUACAUAUUCUAAAACUGGAAAAGUACAGAGAAGAUUAGCAUGGGUCCCUGCGCAAGGUUGACAUGCAGAUUUGCAAAGCAUUCUAUAUUUUA
Octopus bimaculoides (California two-spot octopus) is the source of this 105-nucleotide non-coding RNA. The record is from Rfam. NCBI's taxonomy places the organism in Eukaryota, Metazoa, Mollusca, Cephalopoda, Octopoda, Octopodidae.